AGAAUCAACGCUGGCGGCGUGCCUAACACAUGCAAGUCGCACGAGAAAGUGGAGCAAUCCAUGAGUAAAGUGGCGCACGGGUGAGUAACACGUGAAUCAUCUACCUCCGAGUGGGGAAUAACUGAGAGAAAUCUUAGCUAAUACCGCAUAAUACCCACGGGUCAAAGCAGCAAUGCGCUUGGAGAGGAGUUCGCGGCCGAUUAGUUAGUUGGCGGGGUAAUGGCCCACCAAGACGAUGAUCGGUA
RNAcentral lists this ribosomal RNA (245 nucleotides) under uncultured bacterium. RNAcentral's name for it is "partial small subunit ribosomal RNA". It matches the Rfam family "Bacterial small subunit ribosomal RNA", at positions 26 to 285 of the family's 1533-position model. The record is from RNAcentral.